This is a non-coding RNA of Paramuricea clavata, 396 nucleotides long. NCBI's taxonomy places the organism in Eukaryota, Metazoa, Cnidaria, Anthozoa, Malacalcyonacea, Plexauridae. The record is from the annotation of a GenBank genome assembly.
UUUUGACAGUUGUGCUAUUUUAAAUUCCCAGGCACCUAAAAUAUUUUGUCCUUAAAACAAUGUCGAUUUCUUGGGAAAUUCCGAGGUUGCGUUUUUUUUAUACACCCUGUAUAUCAGUAGACAGAUUUGCAUAAAACACGCAAGACAAGAUCCACGUGCAUGGUCAUGACAGCCACGACCAUCUAGAAACUUUCUACUAUUCUCAGAAACUGAAUUAAUUCUCUGAUUUAUAGAUUAUUUAUUGUACGAUGUGAAGGCUUAAAUUCGUUUGUGAUAUAUAUAAUACCAGACGUUGGUUUUAAAGUAUUGCAGAUGAAGUAUGUCUAUGUACACGCGAAAUUAAACAAUAAACUCCUUUUUUUGAGUUUUGAAAAAUUCCUUUGUCAUACAGGCUUU